AGUGAACGCUGGCGGUAGGCCUAACACAUGCAAGUCGAACGGCAGCACAGGAGAGCUUGCUCUCUGGGUGGCGAGUGGCGGACGGGUGAGGAAUACAUCGGAAUCUACUCUGUCGUGGGGGAUAACGUAGGGAAACUUACGCUAAUACCGCAUACGACCUACGGGUGAAAGCAGGGGACCUUCGGGCUUUGCGCGAUUGAAUGAGCCGAUGUCGGAUUAGCUAGUUGGCGGGGUAAAGGCCCACCAAGGCGACGAUCCGUAGCUGGUCUGAGGGGAUGAUCAGCCACACUGGAACUGGGACACGGGCCAGACUCCUACGGGAGGCAGCAGUGGGGAUUAUUGGACAAUGGGCGCAAGCCUGUUCCAGCCAUACCGCGUGGGUGAAGAAGGCCUUCGGGUUGUAAAGCCCUUUUGUUGGGAAAGAAAUCCAGCUGGCUAAUACCCGGUUGGGAUGACGGUACCCAAAGAAUAAGCACCGGCUAACUUCGUGCCAGCCGCCGCCGUAA
This 506-nucleotide ribosomal RNA is filed under the name uncultured bacterium. RNAcentral describes it as "partial 16S ribosomal RNA". It matches the Rfam family "Bacterial small subunit ribosomal RNA", at positions 29 to 523 of the family's 1533-position model. The record is from RNAcentral.